AUCCUUCAAAAUUCAAUUGCCUUGCUUUAGCAUUGUGCCCUUACACUAAUAUUAACUUACACUAGCAAAUGGAUAUUUUUGUAACCAACAAAUGUCAAAAAUAAUACACUAUCAUCCCUCUCCUAAGCUUCUAAGUGUCAUUCAUCCUUUGGUUAUCCUCAAACAAUUACAUUUUCCCUCCUUACCAACAAAACCAUUUAACACGUCUUCUCACUUUUGUAUUUCACUUUCCUAUUCUUCUCUUCAUCAUUUCUCUCUCACUUUCAUUCUCUUACUAGGGUUUCUCUUCUCUCUUUUUUUGUCUUCUCGGUUCCCCCUCUACACCGUCGUCGUCCUCUUCUCUUCUCUUCCACUAUACUCAGUUUUCUCUUCUCCUCCGUUCUCUUCUCUUCCACCGAUGUCCUGUUUCCACCCUAUCUCUCUUGCUUCCACUGUGAAAAGUCUGCACCAGUGAACAUUAUUGUUGGUUCUCAUGUCUGGGUAGAAGAUCCAGCACUAGCAUGGAUUUCUAGUGAAAUUACUAAAAUUAGUGGUGAAAAUGUCCAUACAACACUACAAACCGAAAUUGGAGAAAUUUUAUGCAAUCACAAAGCAACAACGACAGUUAUUUAAAACAUAGGGUAUAGUUAUUAAUCACACAAGAAUUAAAUGUUGAUAAUGUUGAUGAAGUCUAAUUCGCUUGCAAUGAUGAUGAAUUUGUUAGCUUUAGUUUUAUUGGAACACUUACUUUGAAAUCUAAUUCGUUUUCACUACCUCUAAGGAUUCUGUAAGAACAUUUACUUUGAAGUUUUCAUAAUGCAAUGCAGUAUGAAAAUUGGAAACCAUGCACUUAAUAUUGUCUUGUGUUCAUGUUAUUUUUGUUUGUAUUGGUUCUGGACUUUUGAUGCAAGUUAUUUGAACAGUUAACUAUCUGGUGUUAUCCUUAGGUUUUGCCAAAAGAAAGUAGCGAAACGAAGAAUUUACUUUUACUUCAUCAAUCACUUCCUACGACGGAAUUCAUUUCGAGUCAAAACUUGAUGAGAAACAAGCAAUUGCGGCUUCAAUAGCAUUGUCCGAAAAGCCAAAUGCCACGGCUUCUGCUGCAGUUGCUUCUGCAGCUUCUUUAGUAGUUUCUCACUGCAUUGAGAUUGUAGAAGAUAUGGGAGUUGAACAAGAUCAUAUCGUAACCAUAGCCGACUCAGUUAUUAACAAAAAAAUCAAGAGAGAUAUUAUGACUCUUACUGCUGGAGCAUUCACAUGUAUUAUAAUUUAGUCAAUUUAUGAAUCUCAAAUUCUAAAUCAAAACAAGAGAAAAUGUGGAUUUUCUUGAUAGGUCUUUGUAAGACCCCAAUUUUGACCCAAAGAUCCCUCAUGCAAUUUCAUCAUAAGCAUUAGCAUAUGGAUCAUACCUUGGCAUCCUCCUUACCCCUCCUUCAUUGGGUUUGUUUUGGGAGAGAUCAUCAAGCACUUUGUGAUUGUAUCAUACUUGUGUAUUAUCAUUAUACUAACCAAAAUACAAAAAUAUGUCUUUGCAUUUGCCUAACUCUUUUGUAGGUAGGGCAUGAUCUCCAUUGAUCUAUCAAGUUCAUAUCUAGGAUUUGAAACUCUCAUGACAAAGAGCACAACCAUGAAUUGAUCCAAGAAUGGUUAUGAGCAUCAUAUAUGAGUUCCAUUAAUUCCUACAUGUUAUAUUGAUCAAGUUUUCUUCAAGAGUUUGAGGGUGAUUUGCCUUAGAAACCCUAGUUUCACUGGGUAUCUUGAGUAACUUCUCCAACAAGCUAUCUCACCAAUUGAUCAAGUUUCUCAAGGAACACUUCAAAAUUCAUCAUCUUAUGCAUAUAUGAUCUACCAUGAGCCAAUAAAGUCCAAAGAAUUGAAGGUUAGCAAGUUGGUUGAUGGUGGUUGGUCAGAUGAAUUCAUCUGACUAAAACUGGAUCUCCCUAGACCCUAUCUCCUACAAUUUUUACCAUAUGAAAAUGAUUCCAAGAGAAAAGUUACUCUAAAUGACAUUCCAAACAACUUUCAUGUUGAUACCUAUAGCUAGUUUUGCUUGGAAAAUCAUUUUUUUAUGUUGAAACAUUAUAGGUCAUUUUGUCUAAACCCUAAUUUGAAGGUCAACUUCCCAAGGCCAUAACUUGCUCAAUUUUUAUGAGAUGAAAGAUUUCCAAGUUGCACAAUCAAAUUCAAUGUGUCUAAUUCAACUUUUAUGAGCAUGUGAUAUGACUUUACAUUAUAGGUCACUUUUGACCUAUACCAUUGA
Lathyrus oleraceus (garden pea) is the source of this 2239-nucleotide long non-coding RNA. RefSeq lists it as uncharacterized. The transcript is spliced from 4 exons. Lineage: Eukaryota; Viridiplantae; Streptophyta; Magnoliopsida; Fabales; Fabaceae. The record is from RefSeq and is a predicted model, not a curated record.